GUCUAGCGAGACUGCCAGUGAGUAAACUGGAGGAAGGUGGGGGAGUGACGUCAAAUCAUCAUGCCCCUUAUGACCUGGGCUACAAACGUGAUACAAUGGCUGAAACAAAGGGCAGCGAAGCAGUGAUGUGAAGCGAAACCCAAAAAAGCAGUCUCAGUUCGGAUUGAAGUCUGCAACUCGACUUCAUGAAGUCGGAAUCGCUAGUAAUCGCGAAUCAGAACGUCGCGGUGAAUACGUUCUCGGGGUUU
This 248-nucleotide ribosomal RNA is filed under the name uncultured Acholeplasma sp. RNAcentral's name for it is "partial 16S ribosomal RNA". It matches the Rfam family "Bacterial small subunit ribosomal RNA", at positions 1138 to 1382 of the family's 1533-position model. The record is from RNAcentral. Lineage: Bacteria; Bacillati; Mycoplasmatota; Mollicutes; Acholeplasmatales; Acholeplasmataceae.